This 23-nucleotide non-coding RNA is filed under the name Cricetulus griseus (Chinese hamster). Lineage: Eukaryota; Metazoa; Chordata; Mammalia; Rodentia; Cricetidae. The record is from RNAcentral.
CCAGAAGGCCCUCUGCACACCAG